Molecule: ribosomal RNA, 255 nt
Filed under: uncultured bacterium
Lineage: Bacteria
Description: partial 16S ribosomal RNA
Rfam family: Bacterial small subunit ribosomal RNA
Source: RNAcentral
UACGUAGGGUGCGAGCGUUGUCCGGAAUUAUUGGGCGUAAAGAGCUUGUAGGCGGUUUGUCGCGUCUGCUGUGAAAUCUCAAGGCUCAACCUUGAGCUUGCAGUAGGUACGGGCAGACUAGAGUGUGGUAGGGGGAGACUGGAAUUCCUGGUGUAGCGGUGAAAUGCGCAGAUAUCAGGAGGAACACCGAUGGCGAAGGCAAUCCCCUGGGCCUGCACUGACGCUCAUGCACGAAAGCGUGGGGGAGCAAACAGG